RNAcentral lists this ribosomal RNA (767 nucleotides) under uncultured bacterium. Its description in RNAcentral is "bacterial SSU rRNA". It matches the Rfam family "Bacterial small subunit ribosomal RNA", at positions 60 to 817 of the family's 1533-position model. The record is from RNAcentral.
AGUCGAGGGGCAGCGAGAGUGAUAGCAAUAUUACUUGUCGGCGACCGGCGCACGGGUGCGUAACGCGUAUGCAACCUACCAUCAACAGGGGGAUAACACUGAGAAAUUGGUACUAAUACCCCAUAAUAUCUCAUGCGGCAUCGCAUGGGGUUGAAAACUCCGGUGGUUGAUGAUGGGCAUGCGUUGUAUUAGCUGGUUGGUGAGGUAACGGCUCACCAAGGCGACGAUACAUAGGGGGACUGAGAGGUUAACCCCCCACAUUGGUACUGAGACACGGACCAAACUCCUACGGGAGGCAGCAGUGAGGAAUAUUGGUCAAUGGACGCAAGUCUGAACCAGCCAUGCCGCGUGCAGGAUGACGGCUCUAUGAGUUGUAAACUGCUUUUGUACGAGGGUAAACCCCGAUACGUGUAUCGGGUUGAAAGUAUCGUACGAAUAAGGAUCGGCUAACUCCGUGCCAGCAGCCGCGGUAAUACGGAGGAUCCGAGCGUUAUCCGGAUUUAUUGGGUUUAAAGGGUGCGUAGGCGGUUUGAUAAGUUAGAGGUGAAAUGUCGGGGCUCAACCCCGAAACUGCCUCUAAUACUGUUGGACUAGAGAAUAGUUGCGGUAGGCGGAAUGUAUGGUGUAGCGGUGAAAUGCUUAGAGAUCAUACAGAACACCGAUUGCGAAGGCAGCUUACCAAACUAUAUCUGACGUUGAGGCACGAAAGCGUGGGUAGCAAACAGGAUUAGAUACCCUGGUAGUCCACGCAGUAAACGAUGAAUACU